AGUGCCAUUUUAAGCACGACUCAAAAUCGUGUUCCCUCUGGGAGUGUGGGUUCGACUCCCACCAUCGGCACCA
Molecule: transfer RNA, 73 nt
Filed under: Thermaerobacillus caldiproteolyticus
Lineage: Bacteria; Bacillati; Bacillota; Bacilli; Caryophanales; Anoxybacillaceae
Description: tRNA-OTHER
Source: RNAcentral